UCUGUAUUUUCCACAGUAUGCAUCCGAUGAAGUGAGCUGUAGCUCACGAAAGCUUAAGCUCAAAUAAAUUGGUUAGUCUCUAAGGUGCUACAAGUACUCCUUUUCUUUCUGUGCAUGUUAAAUCUCAACAAUAUGCAGUAGUAACUGUUUGUGCAUUUUUUAUCCUGAGUUGUUUUUAAAUGUUUUAGUGAAUCUGUUGCUUAUGUAAGAUGCCAGAUUGACAGUUCUGGAGUCUGAAGUUCUGCUGAGCCACAGGACAGAGAGAACUACUAACAGCAGGGCAGACUUCCACAUGCUGGUCCCCUUAUGUUCCUUAAUCAUGUUCUGAAGGGACCAUUUCUAAGGAUGACGUUUUCAUGCCCAUUUAAUCCUUGGCCACUGCAGUGGGACUGCAAAUGUGCCAGUAGGAAUUGUGAUUCUGUAAUAUGUUUCAGAGUAGCAGCCGUGUUAGUCUGUAAUCGCAAAAAGAAAAGGAGUCCUUGUGGCACCUUAGAGACUAACAAAUUUAUUUGAGCAUAAGCUUUCGUAAGCUACAGCUCACUUAAGCUUAUGCUCAAAUAAAUUUAUUAGUCUCUAAGGUGCCACAAGGACUCCUUUUCUUUUUGUAUAUAAAUAUGUGCCUAUUAAGAAUUGGACUAAACCCAAACACUUUAUGUAGGGUACUGAAAAGCCCUCAGAUAGUAAUGAUUUCUGGUUGCUAACAGCCUACACCUAGGCCGUAUCUACACAACUAAAGACCUAUGUCUGUAUAACUACAUUGCUCAGGGGUGGGGGGGGAAAUCAUGUGGCUCAGGGGUAUGGACAUAACUACCCCUCUCGUGGAGGUGGUUUAACUACAGCAAUGAGAGAAGCUCUUCCAUCAGCAUAGUAGCAUUUUCACUAAAGCGUUACAGCUACACUCCUGUAGCGCUGUACAUGAAGACAAGCCCCUAGAAGUGAAAAGUUUUAUAUACCGUUGCCAUUCCCCUGAGAUUGAUCAUUAGAUCAAUUGCCACUCCAGUUCAAGACACAUUCAGUUACCACAUUCAGUUCAAUGACGGGUUUUGGGUGAGAGUAGUGUAGUUGAGAAUUAAGUGCAGAUGAUCAUAUUUAAAUAAAUGCACAUAAGUUUGACUAUGCCUUCAACUGUUUAUUUGAAUAUCUUCAUAUAUAUAAUAUUUUUCUAUCAUGUUCAAUUAUCUAAAUAUAGAAACUUGUACACUUAUUAGAACAAUAAUGCAUUAGGCUACUUUCACUCACUUAUUGCUCGUAUAUUUUUCUCGGAUAAUCCCCUCCUUCUCAGUUUAAUAAAGCACACAUACCGAACUGAGAACAACUAUGCCAAAUUUUAAACUUUUAAAUAAAAGCAUUGGAACCAUCAGAGGGGAAGAGGUAUUACAUAUUUUUUCAAAACCAUAAAACUACUAUCAUUUUCUCAUGCUCAUAUAAGUCAUUUUCUUCAAAACAACUCACCUUUGGGAUAGAAUCAAGUACGACAAACUUCAGGCCCCAAAAUCAAAAAUAGAGACUUUGAAUCAAAGUACCUCUUGACUCAUCAGCAUAGUGUCACAACAGUGGUACCUCUACACAAGUUUCUCAUCCCACAUGAACUAUUGAGAGUUCCUACCCAGUAUCCAGCAAUGCAUCUUUAUCUUAAUUAAUGUUAUCACAAGAUGGUAAUUUCCCAGUGAUGGCCUCCUUUUUUUUCCUCCAUGAACUCUUUCAGGCACUUGCCUUAUGCAUGAGAUUACCAUACCCUUUGUUUAGUGCAGAUUACUCUUUAGCAAUGUUUGUUGUAAAUUGCCUAAUGUAUCUAAUAAUGCAGCUGGAAUAAUAGAUGGGUGUGGGAAAUUCCCUGUGGCUGUUGUUCCCAUGCAACAUUUAGUAUAGUCAGUUUUAGUUUCAGUGUAAAAUUUUGUUUUACUUAUGGUAUUCGCCAUCCCAAACCAAACAAUGUAGCCCCAGACUAAAAGAAAAUAGUUAGCCUACAGCUCCUCAUGACAUUUUAUGUAGACAAGAUAAAACUAUAUAUACAAAUUAAGAAAAUUUAUAUAUAAUAUAAUAUAUAUAAUAAUAAAAGUUAUUCUAGGGAUUUAAAAGGGCUAUAAAUAUCAAGACACUGUUUAGAAUGAUUAUAGCUUCAGGAAACUUCAAAUUCAGUGGGAUUCAUUCCUUUAGUGUAAAUAAAUCCUAUAACUUCAACUUCUUUAUUUCUAACAAAAAUAAUUAUGAAUUAUCAAUAAAAGUGAGGCAGUUCUAAAGUUAUGUGAAACAUAAAUACCUUUGAGACAAACUGAGUGAUGUCUCUCAAAAUGAAUUACAUACAUUUAAUAGAUGCUCUUGCCAUAAAAGACUUGCAAUCUAAGGCCCUGCUCCUCCAAACACUUCUGUGCAAUGUCUCAGACCAUCCAUGAGCUUUUCAUUAUGAGCAUAUCCAUACUCUGACCCAUAAAAUAUUAUCAGAGGGUUCAUUUCUCUUCCAAAAUUCCACCUGAGCACAACUUGAUGCUACCAGUUGUUGGAACAGUUUUGUAUUAUAAAGAGAAUAUUAUAGCUCUUUUAAUCCAGGAGAGACAGAUGCACUCUGCAUAGAUUUAUGGGUAAUUUUGCUUUUAUAUGCUAUUACGUUUAAAGAGUUACUUGUCAAUGUUAGGAAUUCCCUCCUUAUUUAGUUUUCAAAUAAAAUUUAGAACCUAAUAAGUACCUAACAAUACUAGUCAGCAGCUGUUUUCAGUUGGAGAAGAUUGAAAAUUUGCACCUCUUACUGACAGCAAGUGCGUAGACUCUAAAGAGAUGUUUUGUAAUUUGGUGAAUGUGACUUGUCAGUGAUGAAAAAUUUCAAAGUUAGUAUGAUACUAAUUUAGAAACAUCAGUUUUAAGUAUAAUUAAAAUUUGGUUAGAAUGCUUCUAUGUGGUAUAUACUGGUUGUAAAUUAUUGUGCAAUCACUUAUAGAUUAGGGGUAGUAAACAUUAUGGUUAAAAGGAAAUACCAACACAGCAUGACUUAUACAAUACUCUUACUUCCCUAUACUUAAAACGGCUCUGAAAACAAAAAUCCAUUUUUAAACCAUUUCUAGCUUUAAAAUUAUUGGGGGGGUUUUCCUCCCAAUGCUUAUAUUUAAUUUUCCAAACGAAGACACAUUUAACAAAAAAUGCCGCUGCCAGGGAUUACCCAUUAGAACAUGUUUAGACCAAAGUAGAUUACAGGAACCUCAGACAAAUAUGUAGAGUAAUGUAACACCAUACAGAGCAAUAGUUUGAAAGAGGAGAAAGGAAAUUUCAUGCCAACAAUUUAUCCAAUCAUGCAGAAUCAUCUAUGCAUGCAAGUAGCUCAGUAAUGAGGCAAGCCUCUAAAUUAUAUACACCGUGUCAGAGAAUUUGGUGAACAGUGUUUGACUAGCAUGGUGGAGCAUAUACCUGUUCCUCUGUCGUCUCAUAAAUAUUUUUUAUCAUGAGAAUGUCCUGCACUUUACUAUCCACUAACAUGGGCAACCUUUAGGCAAAUGGAGCAUAGCAGCAUUAGGAAGGAGAAGGAGCCUUCCCAUCUUAAUCCCAAAGGAACAGUGCCAUAUGACUGGGCAAUCACAGAGAGAUUAUGCACAUACCUCAGUUAGGUUUCUUGGUAUUCAGUAUGAAACACCAGUGCAAGUUACUGAUUAUUCUCCAGAGAGUCAAUGAGUCACUGCACUUGUACGUUCAGAAUCCUUCAUGUCACAUGGUAAGUAAAGCAGGAGACAUUAUCUACUGAUUCCCCAACAAGUUCAGAGUACCGACUACUGAAACAUACUGUGUAAGUACUAUUUACUUUGGUAGUUAGUCACCAGACAAUGACAAAGCUGUCAAACAUGCCAUGGGCCUUUGCUGACAUUUGGCAAUUACUCCUUUAGGGUCCAAUCCUGCAAUACAUACAAUAUGUGGAGGUCAGUGGGACUACUCAUGUGUCUAGAGACAUCUCUCCAAAGUGAAGACACUUAUUUAAAGCAGUCUAAUACCUAGAUAUUCUAUACACCAGAUUUCAGCCUAGAGUGAACAGUGAACUGUUCCAGCCAGGAAUACAAACCCCUGGAAUUGAGCUGCCAGUGGGAUGGAGACAGUGUCUCACUCUACAGCACUUGAUGAGAGGGCCACAAUUAAAAUGGCUCAUCACUGUGUGCUAGAAUUCUUCUGAGAUUGCAAAUCAGUGGAAUAAAUUUAAUGGUUCAGUGUGGUAGUAUUGUAGAGCUGGGCUUGGAAAGAUAUUUUAGAUUUUUAUCAAUAUUCAUUGGUAACAGUGUAACAUGCAUGUUUGUUUGCAGUAUGCCAACUCCACGAUGGGCAAAAGAAUCCAGUUAUCCACAUAUCUUGAAGCCGUUUUUCCAUGGCUCUCCAAUAUUCCUAAGAUAUGACCCUUGAGAAGGUCCUAUUGUGAUUUCUAACUCACACACCCUUUCAAUCCUGCUAUGAGAACUGUAGCCCUGGCAUCUUUGUGAUCGGUCUACAUCCAUCACUGAAUUCAAAAGUCACAGUCUUUAAGGCUUACAUGAUUUACAGUACAAUACUUACAUCAGAGCACUGGAGAUUUUAACUCCAUGGGAGCCAGGGACUAUCGGAGGCUGCCAGAGCUGCUGGGUUCUGCAAUCAGUUCUUCCAAAAUGUAGAGGGUACAGGUGUGUCUGGGAUGAUUAUGAUGGAGGAAGAAGCAGGUCUGUUGGGAAAGUCAUGGGGAGGAAGGAAGAUGGGGCAGGUGGGGUUGGGAGCUGGCAGUGCCUCUUCCAACAGGAGCAGAACCACAGGUAAGGUUUGGGGUCAGUUUGUUUAGAGAGAGAGCCACAGAUUCAGGACAGUUCUGAACUGUUUUGCCUAAGACCCCAUUUAAACACAGGGCUUGACUGUGAAUUUCUAUUUGUCCUAGGCAGUUUCUUUUUUUUGGCCCUGUUUCAGUUCAGUGUUAAUGGUUGUGUGUAAAAUAAUUCUACAUAUAGGCAGGUCAUAAACCUCAGGAAAACAGGGUUUAUAAUAGAAGUGCCAUGGUGCAGAGAUCUGUUCUGUGGUACAGUAUUUACAUGGCCUAACAUUUCCAUAAACAAGAGUUUUAAAGGGAAGACCCACCCAUUCUGGCUCUCAGUUGGCACCUAGGACGUCAGCAGAACGGUUGAUCGGACAAACUAGUACUUCUAAUGCCGUUAAGCAAAAUAAUUUAGAGUGUAGCAGUGCAGUGUUUUUAAGCAGUGGGAUCUCUGCUCUCUCAUGGAACAAGUUAUUUUAAUUAAAGUAGUCCUAGUGGCACAGGAGCUACUGAAAGAAAACAAGUCACUAGUUAUAACUUUCAAACAAACUGACAUUUGAUUGGAUCUAUACAACGGAGGAGGUAUUUCAAAAACAAACAAAACAUGCUGGCAUUGAAGUACUUUCAUGCUAUAUCAGAUAUGUUUAAUUAAGAUGCACUAUAAACCUUGACAUUUGCUUUGACAUGUUUAGAUAUUUUAAUCUUUUUUCUAUCUCCCAUGGUCACAGUCUCUCAAUCUUGUUUUAGAGAGGAAGGAUGGUUUUGUGGUUAAGGUACUGGACCAAGAUUUGGGAGAACUAGGCUGUAAACCUGGCUCUGCCAUAGAAUCUAUCUAUCUAUGUAUGUAGAAUCUUGGGCAAGUCACUAAAUCAAUCUGUACCUUAUUAUACUUCUGUAAAAUGGGAAAAAAUAAUCAUUCUUGUCUUCUCUAUAUAGAUUGUAAGCUUUUUGGGACAGAAACUGUCUUUUAUUAAGUGUUUAUUACUUAGUGCUACUGUAACACAAUUUUUAAAAAAAAUAUAAUGUAACAUCACAUCAGUGCCAUGACGAGCAGUUAAACUCUUCCUGAUCAUGUGCCAAUAGCUGAUGAAAUAUUGUAGGAAACAUGACUGACAGAGACAGCUUGGUUACCGUGCAUGGGGUUAAAUUUGACAUUUGGAAGGAAAAUCAGUUUCAGCAGCAAGCCAGAUCAAGACAUGCCUUCCAUAGUUAGUGCUGCCCACUGGGUACUAAUUAUGUCAUUGAUAUAGCAUGACUGUUCUGCUGUAGAGCGUGAUAGCUGUGUGUCACCAGGCUGUGUUUCUCCCCAGCUCCAAAGCAUGUGCCGCCACACCCAGUCAUUUGCAAGAUUUAUUGAUUUACAGAGGUUAACAAACAAACAGUCUAAAUUUAGCAAAGUCUAAACAGAAAAAAAAUCUCAGCUUAGCCUCAGGGCCCCCUCUCCCAGGAGUGUCUGGCACACCUGUUCCUGGUAGCUUCCCAGUUUCCAUCAGCUCUGCUCCCACCCUGAAGAAACCGCCCCAGUGCUACUUCUUUGAGCCCCUUGCUCUAGGGACCCACCACAGGCAAUAGCUUUCCCUCCCCAGGCAUAGCCUUUCUCAGUCCCUCCCUCAGCUGCCCACUAGCAGCCCUGUAUAGGCCCUCUAUAGGUACCCCAGUCCCCUUUAAUUGGCUGGAUUGGGCUCACCUGCUCUGGUCCAGGGGAGCUGGGUGUAGUCUAUUCACAGGGACCAGCUACCCUGUGACACUGCCCCUUGUUUGAACUUCAGAUGAACAAGUCAUUCAGAUUGGCCCCUUGACAUCAAGGCUACCAAGCUUCUCCUCCUUCUCAUUUGGCAAGGGAUGGAGAAGGGCUGCAAAGAGCAGAUGCCGAAUGAGGUCAUCACAUAUAUCAGCCAGCUUGCCUUAAUUGUCCCAAUGGGGGCUCUUAUUUACUCUUAUUCACCUUGACAUAUGUUAAGUUUCACAAUAGUUCUGCUCCCUUAGCCCUUAUUCAUGCUUUACUUAAAUCAUAAUUCAUUACCUAAAUCUGCUUCACAAAACAUGAGAACUUCAUAAAGACCAGUAACAUCAUCUACUGAAAAACUAGUCACAGGAAUUCAAAAUAAUUCCUACUUCAUAAAGCAAGUGCAAGUAGUACACAGAGACAUAUAGAACCUUUGCAGGGUUUGAAAGAAAAAAAAAUACUUAUUCCAGAAUACUGAAAGGUAUUUGAUAUUUAAGAAGUUUCCACAGUUACAUUGAUAGCACUUUAAAUUGUUUAUGUCACUGCUUGACAGAAAGGAGCAAAUUAUCUGGAUAGGUUAAACUACUAGACAUAAUCAGACAGCUUACAAUUUCAGAUGAACUGGUAGUCAUGGUGGGAAAUUUUUCAAAGAUGUUCCUAGAAGACAAGGGCCAAGGGUUGUGUAGCUGCUGUAUUCAGCCCAAGAGCCCCCUAGAAAAGUUGUUGAAGUUAACUGCUUUUCUCCUGAGGACUCAGAUUGCCAAGCAACCCUCAGACCCCCCUGCAAUGCAGCUGAGGGCAAAAUCAAGACCAUAAUUGGGCCCAUACUGCCUACGAAGGUGGAGUCUCAUCCCUAAGAUGAAUUUCCUUCCUAUAAUUCUAAGUUAAAACACUAGAAACUUCAGGAGUCUUAUAAAAUCUGCAAGUACAGUUUGCAUAAUUGUCCUUCCACCCUCAGCCAUGGCUGACAUUGCCAAGAGUUCAGAACAGCUCUGCUGAAUGCUGCUAUACCUGUUUCUGUUUCCAUGGAAAUGGGCAUUGGCUAAAAUAAGCAUGGCUACUCACUCGGGGCCGCAUGGGGCCUUAUAAACAUUGACCUCCAUUGGGAGCAGUGGGAGGCCAGAGCCACAGGAGGAAUUGUACCUUAGAGAAGCAGAAGUCUUCCUGGAGCUCCUCAUCACACUCCUGUGUCCAUUUGGGGCAGCAUACUCUUCCCUGUACUCCAGAAGACAGCUGUACUGAUCACUGAUUAGGUGGUAGAGCAUGUUGGGCUCCCUCUUCCCUGUUCCCUUUGGGGUAUCUUGCACCCUAGAAGAUGCGAGGAGGGACAUCGUGGAAUGACAUUGUCCCUUUCCUGGCCACUGCAGAGUGGUGCAAAGGUUGGAGGAAACCUUGCGUCUUCCUGUCAAGCACUUACGGAGCAGCCAUGCAGAAUCUGGACCUCCACAGACACUUGAUGGAGUGUUACUAUGACAAUAUUUAGCUAAUAAAGUAUCUGUCUUUUUUUU
Long non-coding RNA from Chelonia mydas (Green sea turtle), 7978 nucleotides. RefSeq lists it as uncharacterized. The transcript is spliced from 2 exons. NCBI's taxonomy places the organism in Eukaryota, Metazoa, Chordata, Testudines, Cheloniidae. The record is from RefSeq and is a predicted model, not a curated record.